GAUUUAGUGGUGUAGUUGGUAGCGCGCCCGUCCGGCAAACAGUAGACGUAGAUUAGAAUCCUACCAGUAUCU
Molecule: transfer RNA, 72 nt
Filed under: Oryctes borbonicus
Lineage: Eukaryota; Metazoa; Arthropoda; Insecta; Coleoptera; Scarabaeidae
Rfam family: tRNA
About the family: Transfer RNA (tRNA) molecules are approximately 80 nucleotides in length. Their secondary structure includes four short double-helical elements and three loops (D, anti-codon, and T loops).
Source: Rfam by way of RNAcentral